Molecule: transfer RNA, 72 nt
Organism: Oryctolagus cuniculus (rabbit)
Lineage: Eukaryota; Metazoa; Chordata; Mammalia; Lagomorpha; Leporidae
Rfam family: tRNA
About the family: Transfer RNA (tRNA) molecules are approximately 80 nucleotides in length. Their secondary structure includes four short double-helical elements and three loops (D, anti-codon, and T loops). Further hydrogen bonds mediate the characteristic L-shaped molecular structure. tRNAs have two regions of fundamental functional importance: the anti-codon, which is responsible for specific mRNA codon recognition, and the 3' end, to which the tRNAs corresponding amino acid is attached (by aminoacyl-tRNA synthetases). tRNAs cope with the degeneracy of the genetic code in two manners: having more than one tRNA (with a specific anti-codon) for a particular amino acid; and 'wobble' base-pairing, i.e. permitting non-standard base-pairing at the 3rd anti-codon position.
Source: Rfam
UCCCACAUGGCCUAGCAGUUAGGAUUUCUGGUUUUCACCCAGGCGGCCUGGCUUUGACACCCGGUGUGGGAA